UUCGGCAAGGGGGUCAUCCCGACUUACCAACCCGAUGCAAACUGCGAAUACCGGAGAAUGUUAUCACGGGAGACACACGGCGGGUGCUAACGUCCGUCGUGAAGAGGGAAACAACCCAGACCGCCAGCUAAGGUCCCAAAGUCAUGGUUAAGUGGGAAACGAUGUGGGAAGGCCCAGACAGCCAGGAUGUUGGCUUAGAAGCAGCCAUCAUUUAAAGAAAGCGUAAUAGCUCACUGGUCGAGUCGGCCUGCGCGG
RNAcentral lists this ribosomal RNA (255 nucleotides) under Escherichia coli. RNAcentral's name for it is "partial 23S ribosomal RNA". It matches the Rfam family "Bacterial large subunit ribosomal RNA", at positions 914 to 1166 of the family's 2925-position model. The record is from RNAcentral. Lineage: Bacteria; Pseudomonadati; Pseudomonadota; Gammaproteobacteria; Enterobacterales; Enterobacteriaceae.